RNAcentral lists this small nuclear RNA (107 nucleotides) under Myotis davidii. The record is from RNAcentral. Lineage: Eukaryota; Metazoa; Chordata; Mammalia; Chiroptera; Vespertilionidae.
GUGCUCGCCUCGGCAGCACAGAUGCUAAAAUUGGAAGGACACAGAGAAGAUUAGCGUGGCCCCUGCGCGAGGAUGACACGCAAAUUCGGGAAGCGUCCACAUUUAAA